This is a long non-coding RNA of Cucumis sativus (cucumber), 453 nucleotides long. RefSeq lists it as uncharacterized. The transcript has 2 exons. The record is from RefSeq and is a predicted model, not a curated record. Lineage: Eukaryota; Viridiplantae; Streptophyta; Magnoliopsida; Cucurbitales; Cucurbitaceae.
CUCCGACCGCGUCUGUCUUCACCUCCGUGAAGCCGUCGAUGCAUACAUCUUGUGAAGCCCGGUCGCCGCGUCAGAUCGUCGAUCGAUUUUGAGGCAGCCGCCACGUCUCCUUUGGCCGACCGCUGACCGACCCACACUUAGGAUUUUUGCUGCGAGUUCGACAGUCGUGCGUUGAGGUGUUGGGAGUAACGUUGGGCUCCCUUAAAUUCACAACCAAUAUAUGAAUUGUUGAGGGUUCAGUUCGCCAAUACUUCGGAUUGUUUCGAGGACGUUAGUUGAUUAAGGAGCUUCCCUAACUUUGAGGUAAGGGAUUUUCUACUGGACUCACUUAUGAUUGUGAAUUGUAUGUCUGUAUGAUUGUCUCUGACUGAGUAAAGAUGUUGAGAUGAUAUAUAUAUAUACACGUAUGGAUGUAGAUUCGGUGUUGAAUGUAUACUGUGGAUUGACUGAAAA